Molecule: long non-coding RNA, 1140 nt
Filed under: Sinocyclocheilus grahami
Lineage: Eukaryota; Metazoa; Chordata; Actinopteri; Cypriniformes; Cyprinidae
Description: lncRNA (ENSSGRG00000027864.1)
Source: RNAcentral
AUUUAAGGGGGUCUGAAUACUUUCCGUACCCACUGUAUAUUAUUGCAGUUGUUCAGAUUAUAAGAAAUGGCUGAUGAAGUUGCAAAGGUGGUUUCAUUUAAGUCCAUGACGAGGUCAAUAUGUAGUAUAUAUAGGCUUAAGUCUGAUUAAGGUGUUUCCUCUUAACGAAGGCGUGCCCUUUGUUGGAUGAUGUACUAGACGAGGAAGUGUUAAUACUCAGACAUGAAAAGAUUCAGGCAUGAAAGAGUCUUCCGGGACAGGCUGCUGGGUCCAAAGAUACAACACAGAACAGCGUGGAGCCACGCUCUCACUGUCCCACAGGUGGUCUGUGUAGCGCUGCGAUUCUUAGCAAGUGGUAUGUUCCUUUAUUCUGUUGGAGAUGCUGAAAACCUCAAAGGCACUAUUUGCUGCACGAUAAGAAAUGUUAGUCUUGAAUUAAAAAAUUAUUGGUCAUCCAAUCUUUUACAUUUUUAACAGAGUGUGUUAAAAAUGUAAAAGAUUGGAUGACCAAUAAUUUUCUCCUAUUAAAUUCGGAUAAGACAGAGAUAUUACUUAUUGGACCAAAAGACAGUACAACGAAUCUCGUGGAUUACAAUUUGCAACUAGACGGAUGUACGGUUACUUCCGCAUAGCACAGUCACAGUAGGAAACUCAUUUUUUUAUAGCUUUCCCUGAUGUCAUUGGUGCAGUGGAUUGCACCCAUAUCUGUAUCAAACACCCCGCAGGGGCACAUGAGAGAGAUUGUUAACAGGAAAUCUUUCCACAGUAUCAGCGUUCAGGUAAGAAUGAUUUAUGGUUACUGUGAGCUACAUAAAUUAUUUCUGUGCAUUAAAUGACCUUAAUAGGUUACAUGUUAUUGUUACAGAUGAUCUGUGAUGCUAACUGCCUUAUCACAAAUUUAGAGGUAAUGUGGCCUGGCUCGGUCCAUGACUCAAGAGCCUUUCGGGCCAAUAGAAUUUACCAGAGACUCUCACUAGGUAAGCCACCCCAAUUUUUUUAAGCACCUUGGACAUCAUGUGUGUGUCAGAAGUUUUACUCUGCUAGUUGUAAGAAUUAUAUUUUGUAUUCUCAGGUGAGUUCUCUGGUGUGCUGCUAGGAGACAAAGGUUAUGCCUGUGAGACGUUCCUGUUGACCCAUGCC